CAACCCUCAAGCCCGGCUUGGUGUUGGGGCCCUACGGCUGCCGUAGGCCCUGAAAGGAAGUGGCGGGCUCGCUGCGACCCCGAGCGUAGUAAUUCGUUUUCUCGCUAUGGACGUUGCGGCGGUGCUCCUGCCGUUAAAGACCCAUCUUUAACCAAA
Molecule: unclassified non-coding RNA, 156 nt
Filed under: uncultured Lecythophora
Lineage: Eukaryota; Fungi; Ascomycota; Sordariomycetes; Coniochaetales
Description: sequence contains ITS2
Source: RNAcentral